This 358-nucleotide ribosomal RNA is filed under the name uncultured organism. RNAcentral's name for it is "bacterial SSU rRNA". It matches the Rfam family "Bacterial small subunit ribosomal RNA", at positions 45 to 433 of the family's 1533-position model. The record is from RNAcentral.
GGCCUAACACAUGCAAGUCGAACGCUCCGCAAGGGGAGUGGCGCACGGGAGAGUAACACGUGGGAACCUACCUAUUGGUUUGGGAUAACACCGGGAAACUGGUGCUAAUACCGGAUAAGCCCGAGAGGGGAAAGAUUUAUCGCCGAUAGAUGGGCCCGCGUUAGAUUAGCUAGUUGGUGAGGUAAUGGCUCACCAAGGCAACGAUCUAUAGCUGGUCCGAGAGGAUGAUCCGCCACACUGGGACUGAGACACGGCCCAGACUCCUACGGGAGGCAGCAGUGGGGAAUUUUGGACAAUGGGCGCAAGCCUGAUCCAGCCAUGCCGCGUGAGUGAAGAAGGCCUUCGGGUUGUAAAGCUC